UCAAGCGCGAGAAGGGCGUUUGGUGGAUGCCUUGGCAGUAAGAGGCGAUGAAGGACGUGAUACUCUGCGAUAAGCGACGGUAAGCCGAGAAUAGGCCGUGACCCGUCGAUUUCCGAAUGGGGCAACCCACUUGAAUGUUUGUUAUUGACAGCAUCGCUGUCACUAAUGAGCAUAACCAAGUACUUAUUACCUGAAUACAUAGGGUUUUAAGAGCAAACCCGGGGAACUGAAACAUCUAAGUACCCGGAGGAAAGGACAUCAAUUGAUACUCCCCUAGUAGCGGCGAGCGAACGGGGACCAGCCGAGCCGUAAAAGCGACCAGAACAUGCUGGAAAGCAUGACCAUAGUGGGUGACAGUCCCGUAUGGGAAGUUUGAGCGGACGUAUUAAGUAGGGCGGAACACGUGAAAUUCUGUCUGAAGAUCGGAGGACCACCUUCGAAGGCUAAGUACUCCUUACUGACCGAUAGCGAACCAGUACCGUGAGGGAAAGGUGAAAAGCACCCCGACGAGGGGAGUGAAACAGUUUCUGAAACCGGACGCCUACAAGCAGUUGGAGGGCCCUUGAGGCCUGACAGCGUACCUUUUGUAUAAUGGGUCAUCGACUUGGUCUCACUAGCAAGCUUAAGCCGAUAGGUGUAGGCGCAGCGAAAGCGAGUCUUAAUAGGGCGAUUGAGUUAGUGGGAUCAGACCCGAAACCGAGUGAUCUAGGCAUGACCAGGUUGAAGGUGCAGUAACAUGCACUGGAGGACCGAACCCACAUCUGUUGAAAAAGAUCGGGAUGAGUUGUGCCUAGGGGUGAAAGGCCAAUCAAACUCGGAGAUAGCUGGUUCUCUGCGAAAUCUAUUUAGGUAGAGCGUCAUCUGAAUACCCCGGGGGGUAGAGCACUGGAUGGGCAAUGGGGGCAUACAGCCUUACUGACCCUAACCAAACUCCGAAUACCCGGGAGUAAUGGAUGGCAGACACACUGCGAAUGCUAACGUCCGUAGUGGAGAGGGAAACAACCCUGACCUACAGUUAAGGCCCCUAAUUCAUGGCUAAGUGGGAAAGCAGGUGGGACGACCAAAACAACCAGGAGGUUGGCUUAGAAGCAGCCAUCCUUUAAAGAUAGCGUAACAGCUCACUGGUCUAGAUAAGUUGUCCUGCGGCGAAGAUGUAACGGGGCUCAAGCCAUGAGCCGAAACUUAGGAUGCACAUAGUGCAUGGUAGCAGAGCGUUCUGUGAUAUAGUUCCACGCCUUUUCUAUUUUAUGCGGUACCAACGCGCUCAAGCAGCGAAGCGGUAGCGCAAAGAUAGUGGAGGCAGGGAGCUUACUGUGAAGCCGGCGCGUGAGCGAUCCGGUGGAGUGAUCAGAAGUGAGAAUGAUGACAUGAGUAGCGACAAAGAGGGUGAGAGACCCUCUCGCCGAAAAUCCAAGGGUUCCUGCUUAAAGCUAAUCUGAGCAGGGUAAGCCGACCCCUAAGGCGAGGCCGAAAGGCGUAGUCGAUGGGAACCAGGUUAAUAUUCCUGGGCCAGGAAGAGGUGACGGAUCACAGAGGUAGUUCAUCCUUAUCGGAUUGAAUGGGCUGCUGAGUGGUUCCUGGAAAUAGCCCUUCCGUGAGAUCGUACCCUAAACCGACACAGGUGGAUAGGUAGAGAAUACCAAGGCGCUUGAGAGAACUAUGUUGAAGGAACUCGGCAAAAUACCUCCGUAAGUUCGCGAGAAGGAGGCCCGGUUUCUACGCAAGUGGGAGCUGGGGGCACAAACCAGGGGGUGGCGACUGUUUACUAAAAACACAGGGCUCUGCGAAGUCGUAAGACGACGUAUAGGGUCUGACGCCUGCCCGGUGCCUGAAGGUUAAAAGGAGGGGUGAGAGCUCUGAAUUGAAGCCCAGGUAAACGGCGGCCGUAACUAUAACGGUCCUAAGGUAGCGAAAUUCCUU
RNAcentral lists this ribosomal RNA (1920 nucleotides) under Candidatus Halocynthiibacter alkanivorans. RNAcentral's name for it is "bacterial LSU rRNA". It matches the Rfam family "Bacterial large subunit ribosomal RNA", at positions 1 to 1970 of the family's 2925-position model. The record is from RNAcentral. Lineage: Bacteria; Pseudomonadati; Pseudomonadota; Alphaproteobacteria; Rhodobacterales; Paracoccaceae.